RNAcentral lists this ribosomal RNA (301 nucleotides) under uncultured bacterium. Its description in RNAcentral is "partial 16S ribosomal RNA". It matches the Rfam family "Bacterial small subunit ribosomal RNA", at positions 509 to 807 of the family's 1533-position model. The record is from RNAcentral.
CAGUAGCCGCGGUAAUACGUAGGUGGCAAGCGUUGUCCGGAAUUAUUGGGCGUAAAGCGCGCGCAGGUGGUUUAAUAAGUCUGAUGUGAAAGCCCACGGCCCAACCGUGGAGGGUCAUUGGAAACUGUUAAACUUGAGUGCAGGAGAGAAAAGUGGAAUUCCUAGCGUAGCGGUGAAAUGCGUAGAGAUUAGGAGGAACACCAGUGGCGAAGGCGGCUUUUUGGCCUGUAACUGACACUGAGGCACGAAAGCGUGGGGAGCAAACAGGAUUAGAUACCCGGGUAGUCCCUGUCUCUUAUAC